This 644-nucleotide ribosomal RNA is filed under the name Pemphigus betae. RNAcentral describes it as "SSU rRNA". It matches the Rfam family "Eukaryotic small subunit ribosomal RNA", at positions 4 to 576 of the family's 1831-position model. Lineage: Eukaryota; Metazoa; Arthropoda; Insecta; Hemiptera; Aphididae. The record is from RNAcentral.
CUGGUUGAUCCUACCAGUAGUCAUAUGCUUGUCUCAAAGAUUAAGCCAUGCAUGUCUCAGUGCAAGCCGCAUUAAGGUGAAACCGCGAAAGGCUCAUUAAAUCAGUUGUGGUUCCUUAGAUCGUACCCAAGUUACUUGGAUAACUGUGGUAAUUCUAGAGCUAAUACAUGCCGACAGAGUUCCGACCGCCGGGCGGCGGGCCCUCGGGCUCGUCGUCCCGGCCGGAAGGAACGCUUUUAUUAGAUCAAAACCGGCCCGUCGGGGCGCGCCCCCGGGCGCGUCUCGAUCGCGGCCCGCGCAAAGACCUGGUGACUCUGAAUAACUUCGAGCUGAUCGCACGGUCUCCGUACCGGCGACGCAUCUUUCAAAUGUCUGCCUUAUCAACUGUCGACGGUAGGUUCCAUGCCUACCGUGGUGGUAACGGGUAACGGGGAAUCAGGGUUCGAUUCCGGAGAGGGAGCCUGAGAAACGGCUACCACAUCCAAGGAAGGCAGCAGGCGCGCAAAUUACCCACUCCCGGAACGGGGAGGUAGUGACGAAAAUUAACGAUACGGGACUCAUCCGAGGCCCCGUAAUCGGAAUGAGAACACUUUAAAACCUUUAAACGAGGAUCAAUUGGAGGGCAAGUCUGGUGCCAGCAGCCG